This is a long non-coding RNA of Phacochoerus africanus (Common warthog), 2018 nucleotides long. RefSeq lists it as uncharacterized. The transcript is spliced from 3 exons. Lineage: Eukaryota; Metazoa; Chordata; Mammalia; Artiodactyla; Suidae. The record is from RefSeq and is a predicted model, not a curated record.
UAUGCCCUGGGUGCGGCUCUAAAAAAGCAAAAAAAAAGAGAACAAGCACUUAUCUCCACUUCUUUUUAAACUGUUAAUGUUUUUUCAACAUCUCAGGGGACAAACUGGACAGAAGAGGAUUAAGGAGAGACUAUUUUAGAACACACGGAAUAUUUCAUAGACAAACUCAAAUCAAAUGCAGUCUGAAAUGUUCAUGUUUGCCUAGGGUCAUAUGGAUUUAGGCUAAAUACCAUCUAUUUGGGGACUGUCAAAUUGUUUACCCUAAGCACACUAGGCUAGAUCCUAGGUCAGUGUACAUGGAUUUGUAUUCAUCUUUUCCUGCUUUUAAAGAUGGGUGCUAAUUAAAAUUUUCCAUCACAGAUGACUUUGGGAAGAGGAAGAAGAAGAUUAUAAGAUGGGAUUACCUUGCAUAUUAUACUGAUAGUAAUUAGGAUCUUCUGAUUCUUUCUUGACUGACACAGCUGCUGCUUUCAGUGAAAUGCCUUUGAAUGCAAUGGAAAUUAUAAAAUUACAUGUUAGGCUAAACCCACCAACAGAGAGAGGUGACUGGCUAAUAUUUUUUCCAGGUUCUGUUUGGAUUAACACAGCAACAUGGCAAUCAGCAAAGGAACUCAUGCACUAUGAACAAAUGGUUUAUCCGUAUAAAAUAUAGAAUCCACAAAAGAGGAAAGAAGGAGAGAGGGAUGAAGGGAGGGAGGAACAGAAGAUGAGAAGAAAGAGGGCUAGUUUCCAGUUGGGGGACAUUUUCCCUUGCAGGGUGGCUAAAUAUGGGCAUGCAUUUGCAUGAAAUAUUGUAACUAUUCUUUUUGUCACAGAUGGUCUUCAUUCACCUACGACAACAGAAUGGAUUUAAAACCACUGCCUUAGUAAAACCCAAGGGCUUUAUCAGGGAAAGGUGCGGUAGACGGUAAAGCUUAGCCACAAAUGUCUCCCAUCCCAGCAUAUACACCUGUUUGCAAUGUGACUUCCCCACUCCAAGUUUCUGGAAGUGGAAAUCUCCAGCUUUUAAAGCUGCGCCUGGCCAUGUGACUUGCUUGGACCAAUGGGGUCCAAACAGAGGCUUGAGCCUUGCUCGUGCACCCGGGCCUGCUGUUCUGGGGGCAGAGUGGCCCAGAGAACGAGCCUGAGCGAGCCUCCUGGAGAUCUGAGACCACAAGGAGAAAGGAGCCCGCCUUUCCCAGCCGAGGCCUAAGCCCCAGGAGCGAAGCCAGUCCGGGCCAGAAGGAAGGCCUGGCCAACACACAGAACGACUGUGACAUUUAAGGUGGAGCUUCUACCAAGCACCUGUUGACAUGUGGCCAGGAGAGACCCGGGGGAUUUGACCCAGGAGGAGUCAGGCUCUGAGACUGGUCCAUUCCUGAUCCAGGGACCUGGGAGGCAGCUGAGUAUAGACCACACCUGACACCUUCAGCAACGAUGCUGCUCUCACCUCCGUUUCACUGGAGACCAUGUGGCUCAGACGCACAGGAACGGUCACACAGCCCAGACCCACUCUUGAGCCCAACAGCGCCCGGCCCACGGCUGGUGGUUAAAGACCAGGAAGGCAGCCCAGCGUCCUCACACUCCUGUGCAAGGUAGGUCUCCUGCCCCCCACGGGCUGGACACAGAGGAUGGUCUGCACGGAAGGUGGGAGGAGGGUGGCAUCUCCGCAAACGUCACCACUGCCCCCUGCCAGAAAUGUCAGAGAGAUGACCUUCUCAAGCAGGAAAGGCAAAGCACAAACAAGCUUCAGAAUGUGCCAGACUUACACUGUAAUUAAGAGGAGCAGAUAAAGAGGAUGUGGUACAUAUACACAAUGGAAUAUUACUCAGCCAUUAAGAGGAAAGAAAGAACGGCAUUGCAGUAACAUGGAUGGACCUAGAAAUUAUCAUGCUAAGUGAAGUUAGUCAGGCAGUGAGACACCAACAUCAAAUGCUGUCACUUGCAUGUGAAAUCUUAAAAAGGGACAUAAUGAACUUCUAUGCAGAGCAGAUACGGACUCACAGACUUUGAAAAACUUACGGUUUCCAAAGGAGAGA